ACCAUUUGGCUUUGCAAUUAAAAACAGGUUUGGCUUCCCUCAGCAUCAGUAAGACAACGUCAAAGCAACAUUCAUCCUGAAAAUUUUCCCCUGUGAAUUCAAAUGAACUUUAUGUAUCUGAAGUCUGGUAAAAGAGAAGAAAGAAUAGAGGGGAUUAUUAGGUCUUUAAAUCUGGAGAAGUUGCCUUCCCAAACUUACCAUAAAUCAUAUUUAUGAGGAAGCCGUCUUUACGGAGACAAUGAAACUAAAGCACCUGCGCGCCGGAACCACAUCACUUACACAGCUUACAUAAUGCCCAACGGGAACAUGCAGGC
Molecule: long non-coding RNA, 314 nt
Organism: Myotis davidii
Lineage: Eukaryota; Metazoa; Chordata; Mammalia; Chiroptera; Vespertilionidae
Exons: 3
Source: RefSeq, a predicted model, not a curated record